This is a long non-coding RNA of Lytechinus pictus (painted urchin), 1887 nucleotides long. RefSeq lists it as uncharacterized. The record is from RefSeq and is a predicted model, not a curated record. NCBI's taxonomy places the organism in Eukaryota, Metazoa, Echinodermata, Echinoidea, Temnopleuroida, Toxopneustidae. The transcript has 2 exons.
AUGGUCCAUUUUGUAUAGCAUAAGCGGAGGCGUGCUAAUAAUGAACAUUUCUUAAAAACCACCUCAGCAGUUCAGCAUAUCAUCUUGUUAGAAGCUACGGAUAUAUUCAUCACUUUGACCAAUAGGAAAGCUUCAUCGGAAUGGUCAAUGGAGGCCGAGUUUCAAUGAUUGUGAAAAAAAACCUGUGGAAUGCGGACCAAUAUAAUUUAGAUGAAAAUAAAGCAUCUUUACUUUGCCAUUUAAUUUGCUUCACUUAAUUCGCGCCGAUCCGGUGGAUCCGGUGGAUACCUGUUUAUUUCGACAUUCUGGCUCGAUCGUCAUCUUUCUGAUUGAAGAAGGAAAUCUACAACCAUGACUGAACGCAAGGCCGUGAUCAAGAACGCUGAUAUGUCAGAAGAUAUGCAGCAAGACGCCAUCGACUGCGCCUCCCAGGCAAUGGAAAAAUUCAACAUCGAGAAGGACAUCGCAGCCCACGUCAAGAAGGAAUUCGACAAGAAGUUCAACCCUACUUGGCAUUGCAUAGUGGGUCGCAACUUCGGCAGCUAUGUGACGCACGAAACAAAGCAUUUCAUCUACUUUUAUCUGGGUCAAAUCGCCAUCUUACUUUUCAAGUCUGGAUAGACUUUGGAAUGUGGUAUUAGAACUGCUUCUCUAAUUUAACCACACGUUAAUAAACUAACAUGCACCUUCAGUACAUUAUCAAUGAUUAAAUUCAUCAGCCGAGCAAAUAUCAGCCAUGAAUCCUUGAAACUUCAUUUUUGGACAACGAGACGAAAUCUCCCUGGCCUCUGAAGAAGCCCCAGACCCGAUGUUGUUCGGGUACUUUUCUAAGGAAAAGCCAUCACCUUGAUCCACAUUGGUACUUUCAUCCAUGACUGCAACGUUGAAUGCGACGAUGGCAACGCUGAUCAUGGCGAUGACGACGGUCAUGGCAACUGGGUGACGACAGUUGGGACAAUAUCAAAAUGAGACGAAGCAUCGACAAGUCAUCUGCAAAUGAUUUCCGAAAGGAAAAGAGAUGAUAUUGAAAAAAAAAACAGACCAGAAACUAAAUAGACUAUAUACAUCGUUUAUAAUAUUUCAUGUUUGUAUAAUAUCAGAUGUUUGAGACAUCUUCAGACGUUCUUUUACCUGUUUACAUUAAAAAUAAAGCCGAAUUUCUGUGGAUAAAAAAAAGGGGGGCACAUUUUCCCCGAGGAAAAAUUUUUGACAGGCAAAAAAAAAAUUUUUUUAAUGGUUUUCAACCUAACCUAAAAUAAUGACAUUUCGUCCACGAACAUUUUUGACAAGAAAAAAAAAGGUCUUCAGGGGGGCACACUUUUACAUUACAAAUUUUAAUUGUGCCUCUCAAAGGGGGGGGCACGGGCCGGCUGUGCCCCCCCCCUCCUGGAUCCGCCAGUGCAUUUUACGAUUGAAUAAAUACUUCAAUAAAUAUAUCUAUGCAAAUCUAUUUGCAUAUUCUGUACAAUCGAUUAAAAAAACUCGAAAGUUGGUUAUAUUUUUAUUAUGCUUUAUCAAAAAUGAUUGGUUGAUUGUUUUGCUAUCUCCUGGUGGAUUGGGGUGCCUAGGGGAAUUAUCGUUAAACGAAAUUCGAUUGGAGCUUGCGUAAUCAAUCGUAAUUCUUGCAAUCAGAAUGGAAAUAAUAUAUAUUUUUUAAUUGAUCUUCUGUUUUGUGCAACAAAACAUCAAUUUGAUUGGUUAUAUAUUUAAAAUUCAUCCCUGGAACUUUUUAUCAUGUAAUUUUUGCAGUCGCUAGCAAAUCAUUCUCUUUCAGCAUCAGCCAUCGUGGCCAUUGCAAUGCUUUUUCUGGCAAGCUUUCGCAUAAGCGUUCGCAUUGUCAAGUACUAUCUUCGCAUGAAAAGUAAUAAAUAAUAAAUAAAAAAUUUA